CAUGCUAACAAAACAGAAAAUAAAGACAAACACUGUGGAAUUUGCCUGUAUUGCAUUAUCCUUUAAUAUAAAUGACAUAUAUGUUUUACAAAUUAGAGAGAUUGGCUUUGGAGAAUCAAGAGGCUGCAGAAGAUUCUUUUAAGGUGACAUUUUGAUUGAGUAUAUGGUUAGCUUUGUAGAUUGACAGUAGAAAUGUGCAGCCUACCUUUGAUGUGCUUGCUACCCACUAGAAUCUGUUGAAGAGUCCCAAUUUGCAGAAAGCUUCAGAUCAUUCUCAGAAGAUAUUUCUACAAAUGAUGUCCCAACGUUGUUCAAUUAGGCCUUACUGUUAAUUCACUUCAUUUUAUGCUACACUUAGGAUUUUGAUUAUAUUCUAAAUUUCACAUAUUCAUUUGAUGGGGAGCCUGCAUAUCUCUACUUGACAGUUAAGAACAGUGUUUAAAAAACAAAAUCAGUAAAGGAUGAUGACAAAUGUACAAUGUAGAAGAAAUGAACAGUGAACUGCUAUUAUUUUUGUUUUAGAUAUAUACAUGGACUGAUACCAAAGGCUAAAGCCUAAUACCUUAGUCUGCAAAGUUGCUUCACUGAAAAUCAGUCAAACUGCUCUUAUGACUAAGGUGAGAGGGAUUUGCCCUAGAGAAAAUUAGUAAUUGAGCUCCUGACAUAGGUUAUAGGUUUUGUACUGCAGGCUACUCAUUAUUUUGUUCACUAGGAUUAUGUUAGACUAAUCCUGAAUAGCAUUGCUCUAAAAAAAUGGCAAACUUAAAAGAACUAUGUGUACAAUAUGAAUUUAUUUUUUUCCCAAAAUAAUGACAUCAGCAACAAUUUUAUUUGCCUCUGCUAAAUAGAUACAUUCAAAAUUAGCUUAGUGUUAUAGUAAUAUUUUUAAACCUCCAGGGCUUGAAAUAAAUUUAAAGGAGGUAACUCUCUCCUUCUCAAGUUUCAAGAUGUCUUGAGAGUCCUUUUUUCCUCUACUAUUUUUCUUCAGUGGCUAUAAAAAUAUGCUCAAUCACUAUCUUUUUUCUUUUUUUUUUUAAAUCAUAGUUUGACAAAUAUUUACUCCGAAUCUCAUAUACAGUGGAAUCUGAAAACCUGUAGCAUUCAGCAAACCAAAAAUUACCACAGAAAGCAUGCUGGAAAAGAAGGCUGAAAUAAGUCAGUUUAAAGCACAGACAGGAAUUCUUUUUGAUGGUAUGUUUGAUCUUGUACAUCUGUAAUGAUUAAUUUAUUUUACAUAAUUGGAUCAUCUCCACUUUACAGUGAAGUUUCUGGUAUUUGGCAUUAACUGUUAGCAACAAUUUUUUGAACAGGCCCAUUACAACAGGUACUUUAGCUGAAAUACAACCAAACCCCGCCUUUAGAAAUCUAUUUGUAAUUUCCGAUCUGUACUGCAGAGCGUUCAUGGAUACAUCGGAAAGCAGAGGGCUGGAUUUCCCAGUACUGCACGGGGUUGCUGAAGAGACUCACACCAGAAUAGGUUGCCUUUUUGGUGUUGUAGCCAAGAGGGCAAAAGUCGUUGAUACCAAUUGAAGCAAUCUUGUUGUUAUGAAGAUAGACCACCUGGAUGUAUUUGUGUUCACCCAACCCACUAGGUACUCUGACAAGUUCGUUGUUAUUCAGAUGAAGUUCUCUCAGAUGAGGUACAUUGUUCAGAGAGCCAUUUUCAACAGAAGAAAUACUGUUGAAGCUGAGACCCAAUUUAGCCAAGUUGGUGAGUCCAGACAGACCUUCCGCAUCAAUUUUGCUAAUUUUGUUGCCAUCAAGGUGAAGCUCAGUAAGGGAUGGAGGAAGACCUUUAGGGAUGCUAGUAAUGUUGGUGUCUGCGAUGCGGAUAUAGGAAAGCCUCUUCAUCCCUUGAAAAGCUCCAUUUUCAAUGCCUGAGCUCUUGAGUGGAUUGGUGCCUAGUUCUAAGACAAUCACUUGAUUCAGUCCAUUAAAAACUGCCUUCCUCAACUUGGAGAUCUCAUUUUCAUGAGCACGUAUCUCCUGAAGAGACUUUGGCAUGUUUUCUGGAAGUUCCUUCAAAUUAUUCUUGGAUAGGUACAGUCUUUCCAGUUUCUUCAGAGGAGCAAAAGCUGCCGGACUUAUUUUGCUGAUUUUGUUGUUAACAAGGAUCAAUGCAUGAAGAUUCUUCAAAUUCUUGAAAUCUCCUUCUUUAAUUUCAGUGAUUUUGUUGUUCUGUAAAUCCAGCAGAGUUGUGUCAGGGGGAAGGUCUUUUGGCACUCUUUCCAGACCUAGGGUCAGUGAAAAGAAUAAACAAUUGACUUUGAAAUAAAUUUCAGUGACCGGUACUUUCUUUAGUUACAUUUACCUUUCAGUAAACAUUUCUAGGACUCAUUUCCUGAAGAAGCUUAUGAAGACUUAUUUGACAGAAUUCCUGUCUCUGAAGAGUUAAAGGGAGUUUUAUUUUGCUAUGUCAAAUUGAAAUGUAUCUAUUAACAUUUCCAUUAUGCUCUUUUUUGAAAAUAUGUCUGAGCUAUACCUUGAAUUUGUCAAAAUUAUUUCUAAUGCAUUUAACCCCA
This 2522-nucleotide long non-coding RNA is filed under the name Gallus gallus (chicken). The record is from RNAcentral. Lineage: Eukaryota; Metazoa; Chordata; Aves; Galliformes; Phasianidae.